AUCGGGUAAGGAUUUUUGUUGGG
Molecule: microRNA, 23 nt
Filed under: Caenorhabditis elegans
Lineage: Eukaryota; Metazoa; Nematoda; Chromadorea; Rhabditida; Rhabditidae
Source: RNAcentral